GAUGAGCGCUGGCGGCGUGCCUAAUACAUGCAAGUCGAGCGAACGGACGAGAAGCUUGCUUCUCUGAUAUUAGCGGCGGACGGGUGAGUAACACGUGGAUAACCUACCUAUAAGACUGGGAUAACUUCGGGAAACCGGAGCUAAUACCGGAUAAUAUUUUGAACCGCAUGGUUCAAAAGUGAAAGACGGUCUUGCUGUCACUUAUAGAUGGAUCAGCGCUGCAUUAGCUAGUUGGUAAGGUAACGGCUUACCAAGGCAACGAUGCAUAGCCGACCUGAGAGGGUGAUCGGCCACACUGGAACUGAGACACGGUCCAGACUCCUACGGGAGGCAGCAGUAGGGAAUCUUCCGCAAAGGGCGAAAGCCUGACGGAGCAACGCCGCGUGAGUGAUGAAGGUCUUCGGAUCGUAAAACUCUGUUAUUAGGGAAGAACAUAUGUGUAAGUAACUGUGCACAUCUUGACGGUACCUAAUCAGAAAGCCACGGCUAACUACGUG
This 497-nucleotide ribosomal RNA is filed under the name uncultured bacterium. RNAcentral's name for it is "partial 16S ribosomal RNA". It matches the Rfam family "Bacterial small subunit ribosomal RNA", at positions 28 to 507 of the family's 1533-position model. The record is from RNAcentral.